RNAcentral lists this ribosomal RNA (453 nucleotides) under uncultured bacterium. RNAcentral describes it as "bacterial SSU rRNA". It matches the Rfam family "Bacterial small subunit ribosomal RNA", at positions 350 to 793 of the family's 1533-position model. The record is from RNAcentral.
AGCAGUGGGGAAUAUUGCACAAUGGGCGCAAGCCUGAUGCAGCCAUGCCGCGUGUAUGAAGAAGGCCUUCGGGUUGUAAAGUACUUUCAGCAGUGAGGAAGGUGGGUAUGUUAAUAGCAUACUCAUUUGACGUUAGCUGCAGAAGAAGCACCGGCUAACUCCGUGCCAGCAGCCGCGGUAAUACGGAGGGUGCGAGCGUUAAUCGGAAUUACUGGGCGUAAAGCGCAUGCAGGUGGUUUGUUAAGUCAGAUGUGAAAGCCCGGGGCUCAACCUCGGAAUUGCAUUUGAAAACUGGCAAACUAAGUAGUACUGUAGAGGGGGUAGAAUUUCAGGUGUAGCGGUGAAAUGCGUAGAGAUCUGAAGGAAUACCGGUGGCGAAGGCGGCCCCCUGGACAGAUACUGACACUCAGAUGCGAAAGCGUGGGGAGCAAACAGGAUUAGAUACCCUGGUAG